UGGCGGCGUGCCUAAUACAUGCAAGUCGAACGCACUGACGUCGACAGAAGGUGCUUGCACUGGAAGUUGAUUGACGUGAGUGGCGGACGGGUGAGUAACACGUGGGUAACCUGCCCUUAAGCGGGGGAUAACAUUUGGAAACAGAUGCUAAUACCGCAUAAAAGUUGAGAUCACAUGGUCUUAAUUUGAAAGACGGCCUUUGGCUGUCACUUAAGGAUGGACCCGCGGCGUAUUAGCUAGUUGGUGAGAUAAUAGCCCACCAAGGCGAUGAUACGUAGCCGACCUGAGAGGGUAAUCGGCCACAUUGGGACUGAGACACGGCCCAAACUCCUACGGGAGGCAGCAGUAGGGAAUCUUCCACAAUGGACGAAAGUCUGAUGGAGCAACGCCGCGUGAGUGAAGAAGGUUUUCGGAUCGUAAAACUCUGUUGUUGGAGAAGAACAGGGACUAGAGUAACUGUUAGUCCUUUGACGGUAUCCAACCAGAAAGCCACGGCUAACUACGUGCCAGCAGCCGCGGUAAUACGUAGGUGGCAAGCGUUGUCCGGAUUUAUUGGGCGUAAAGCGAGCGCAGGCGGUUUCUUAAGUCUGAUGUGAAAGCCUUCGGCUUAACCGAAGAAGUGCAUCAGAUACUGGGAAACUUGAGUGCAGAAGAGGAAAGUGGAACUCCAUGUGUAGCGGUGAAAUGCGUAGAUAUAUGGAAGAACACCAGUGGCGAAGGCGGCUUUCUGGUCUGUAACUGACGCUGAGGCUCGAAAGUAUGGGGAGCGAACAGGAUUAGAUACCCUGGUAGUCCAUACCGUAAACGAUGAAUGCUAAGUGUUGGAGGGUUUCCGCCCUUCAGUGCUGCAGCUAACGCAUUAAGCAUUCCGCCUGGGGAGUACGACCGCAAGGUUGAAACUCAAAGGAAUUGACGGGGGCCCGCACAAGCGGUGGAGCAUGUGGUUUAAUUCGAAGCUACGCGAAGAACCUUACCAGGUCUUGACAUCUAGCGCCAAUCCUAGAGAUAGGACGUUCCCUUCGGGGACGCUAAGACAGGUGGUGCAUGGUUGUCGUCAGCUCGUGUCGUGAGAUGUUGGGUUAAGUCCCGCAACGAGCGCAACCCUUAUGAUUAGUUGCCAGCAUUUAGUUGGGCACUCUAAUCAGACUGCCGGUGACAAACCGGAGGAAGGU
Molecule: ribosomal RNA, 1172 nt
Filed under: uncultured bacterium
Lineage: Bacteria
Description: bacterial SSU rRNA
Rfam family: Bacterial small subunit ribosomal RNA
Source: RNAcentral